This 492-nucleotide ribosomal RNA is filed under the name uncultured bacterium. Its description in RNAcentral is "partial 16S ribosomal RNA". It matches the Rfam family "Bacterial small subunit ribosomal RNA", at positions 29 to 507 of the family's 1533-position model. The record is from RNAcentral.
AGUGAACGCUGGCGGUAGGCCUAACACAUGCAAGUCGAACGGCAGCACAGUAAGAGCUUGCUCUUACGGGUGGCGAGUGGCGGACGGGUGAGGAAUACAUCGGAAUCUACUUUUUCGUGGGGGAUAACGUAGGGAAACUUACGCUAAUACCGCAUACGACCUACGGGUGAAAGCAGGGGAUCUUCGGACCUUGCGCGAUUGAAUGAGCCGAUGUCGGAUUAGCUAGUUGGCGGGGUAAAGGCCCACCAAGGCGACGAUCCGUAGCUGGUCUGAGAGGAUGAAGAGCCCCACUGGAACUGAGACACGGCCCUGACUCCUACGGGAGGCAGCAGUGGCGAAUAUUGGACAAUGGGCGCAAGACUGAUCCAGCCAUACCGCGUGGGUGAAGAAGGCCUUCGGGUUGUAAAGCCCUUUUGUUGGGAAAGAAAAGCAGCAGGUUAAUACCCCGCUGUUCUGACGGUACCCAAAGAAUAAGCACCGGCUAACUUCGUG